UUUCCAUAUGUCGUGCGAAUCGCGCGAGUUGUUUCCAACGAACCGGCUAAUUCGCCAUUUUCUUCCGAUUAACCUCGCGAAAGAGACUAUGCUCUUCGUUGAAAAUUGCACAUAUCGAUUCUUCGACGUUUCUGGAACGAAACAUUUUUGACUGUCGUCUGGAUAAUAACAAUAUAAAUAACGAGCCUUCAUUGAUGAUAAAGAUGGGCUAAUACCCUGACCAACAAUGGAUCAAAUCCAUUACUAGGUCAUUGCUUGAACGGCUA
Molecule: long non-coding RNA, 266 nt
Organism: Harpegnathos saltator (Jerdon's jumping ant)
Lineage: Eukaryota; Metazoa; Arthropoda; Insecta; Hymenoptera; Formicidae
Exons: 2
Source: RefSeq, a predicted model, not a curated record